GUGGGUAUAGCUCAGUGGUAGAGCACAUUCUUAACAUGCAUGAGGUCCUGGAUUCAGUCCCCAGUAUUUCCG
This is a transfer RNA of Camelus ferus (Wild Bactrian camel), 72 nucleotides long. It matches the Rfam family "tRNA". Rfam says of the family: Transfer RNA (tRNA) molecules are approximately 80 nucleotides in length. Their secondary structure includes four short double-helical elements and three loops (D, anti-codon, and T loops). Lineage: Eukaryota; Metazoa; Chordata; Mammalia; Artiodactyla; Camelidae. The record is from Rfam.